Carya illinoinensis is the source of this 1159-nucleotide long non-coding RNA. RefSeq lists it as uncharacterized. The record is from RefSeq and is a predicted model, not a curated record. NCBI's taxonomy places the organism in Eukaryota, Viridiplantae, Streptophyta, Magnoliopsida, Fagales, Juglandaceae. The transcript has 2 exons.
UAUUUCAUAUAACCUAAUAAAAUAUCUUAACUUAAACUAUUUUAUUACUAUUCAUAAACUAUUUUACUAUUAUUCACAGAUUUCUCAUCUCAUCUCAUUACCCAAACAUACCCUUAGAAUCCGGCUAGGAAUACAAAAGAAUUCAACAAAUUGACAUGGCCUUGGGCAAAAUCAAUUAAGUUUUUUUUUUUUCCCCUCAAAUUUCAUUUUCAGCCCCAUUAUUCCUUUCCCUUGUUCCUUUCCACUUCGUUGUCCUCGCCAUAUGGUAUAUUCCACUUUCCUACUCCAAACACCCUCGUUAUUACCAUUUAAUUUAUUUUUGACAAUGAAAUAUAGAUUAGGAGGUGAUUGGGGAGGGAAAAGAAAAGAAAAAUAAGAAUAAUAAGAAAGAAAGGGAACUAGGAAAGAAAGGACAGGCGUGGAAGGCUUUGGUUAGGCCUGUUCAUCUGAGCAAGGUAAAAAUCGGCCCGAGCCCGAAACCCAGAUAAGGUUGUAGUUUUCGGAUCGGGUUUGACCCGGGCCGGUCCCUGCAUUGUAAUAACCAAUUUCAUCUGGUCUGGAUCCGAGUAUGAAACCCAGGUUCUAUAUUAACACCCGGUACUGUCCCGGGUUGGUAUAAAUUAAAAAAGGCCAGACCUAACCCUAAAACAACUUUCUAGCCGCUUCAUCUCUCUGGCAUCUUCAUUUCUUCUGGGUCUCUAACUCUCCAAUCCACAAUCCAUGGACCAUCUCUCUCUCAAUUCUUGCAUUUGUAUCUCUCUCUCUCUCUCUCUCUCUCUCUCUCACACACACACACACACACAAGCAAAACCCUGGCCACCGUUGUCUCUCUUUCGUGACCACGAUAUGUUGCACCGCCAACCUUUCAGCUAAGUUGGUGUAUACUUUUUUCUUUUUCCAGAUCUACAAGAGGGUCUUAGAAAAGUUUAUGUAUAUUUGUAUUCAUCCUCGUGCCGUCGACUUCAUCAUCCUUGGCUCUCUUUCAAUCAGAUCACUUGAAGGUGCUACUUGGUGUGAGAUUAAAUCAUUGAUAGAAGACCAUGCUAAUGAUUUUGUAAUUCAUAUCUUGUAAUUUUGUAUUUUGUAAUGUAAUGUGUAAAUAAAAAAAUAAUGUAAUAUGUAGUGGCUUGCAUGCAUUUUAGUUUUUUAUUUUUAUAUA